This 197-nucleotide ribosomal RNA is filed under the name uncultured bacterium. Its description in RNAcentral is "partial 16S ribosomal RNA". It matches the Rfam family "Bacterial small subunit ribosomal RNA", at positions 1303 to 1500 of the family's 1533-position model. The record is from RNAcentral.
GGCUGAAAUUCGCCUUCAUGAAGCUGGAAUUGCUAGUAAUGGCAGGUCAGCAUACUGCCGUGAAUACGUUCCCGGGCCUUGUACACACCGCCCGUCACACCAUGAGAGUUGGGAAUACCCGAAGCCUGUGAGCUAACUUAUAGAGGCAGCAGUCGAAGGUAGAAUCAAUGAUUGGGGUGAAGUCGUAACAAGGUAGC